This 507-nucleotide ribosomal RNA is filed under the name uncultured bacterium. RNAcentral describes it as "partial 16S ribosomal RNA". The record is from RNAcentral.
GGAGUUAGCCGGUGCUUCUUCUGUGAGUGAUGUCCUUCCUGCCGGCUAUUAACCCGCAGGCCUUCUUCCUCACUGAAAGUGCUUUACAACCCGAAGGCCUUCUUCACACACGCGGCAUGGCUGGAUCAGGGUUGCCCCCAUUGUCCAAUAUUCCCCACUGCUGCCUCCCGUAGGAGUCUGGGCCGUGUCUCAGUCCCAGUGUGGCUGAUCAUCCUCUCAGACCAGCUACGGAUCGUCGCCUUGGUGAGCCGUUACCUCACCAACCAGCUAAUCCGACAUAGGCUCAUCCGAUAGCGCGAGGCCCGAAGGUCCCCCGCUUUCCCCCGUAGGGCGUAUGCGGUAUUAGCCUGGGUUUCCCCCAGGUUAUCCCCCACUACCGGGCAGAUUCCUAUGCAUUACUCACCCGUCCGCCGCUCGCCACCAGGGAGCAAGCUCCCCGUGCUGCCGCUCGACUUGCAUGUGUUAGGCCUGCCGCCAGCGUCAAUCUGAGCAGAUACAAACUACUGA